RNAcentral lists this small nuclear RNA (23 nucleotides) under Arabidopsis thaliana (thale cress). RNAcentral's name for it is "snRNA_10778". Lineage: Eukaryota; Viridiplantae; Streptophyta; Magnoliopsida; Brassicales; Brassicaceae. The record is from RNAcentral.
AGUUAGUUUUCGUUUCAGAUUAU